RNAcentral lists this long non-coding RNA (898 nucleotides) under Cyanistes caeruleus (blue tit). RNAcentral describes it as "lncRNA (ENSCCEG00000012560.1)". The record is from RNAcentral. Lineage: Eukaryota; Metazoa; Chordata; Aves; Passeriformes; Paridae.
AUGGAACUGGUCUGCUGGCACUUUUUUUUUUUUAAUUAUUUUUUAUUGUUGAUUGUUCAUCUUGCAGGAUUACAGGCUCAGAAGACCACAGGUACUUCCAUAUCAAGUGAAAUCAAAGGCCUAACUAGCCAUGAAGGAAACAGCCUGUCCUUGCAGAUAAGUGGUUGCACAGGGUGCAAAGCAGUGAUGACUCCAGCCUGCAGUGUUUCCAGAUGGGAAGAGCAGCACUGGCACUGGAGAGCCCUCCUGAGAGCUCCUGCCUGCUUUGGAGAUUCUAGGACUUCAUGGAUGUCAGCUGAGCUCCAGAGAAACAUGUGGACUUUGUGAUGCUCUUCUGAACCCAGUACAGAGCUAAGUCUGGGACCAUCUGAGAGCUACUGGGACAUCCUUCAGCUACAGCAAGUUGGGAGCAGUAAAGACAGUGCAAACACUCUCAGCCCUGGCAGACAGGGUAAGAAGAAGAGCAAUGGCCACAAAAGGCACCAUGGAAAAUUCACGUUGGACAAAAUGACAACCUUUUUCACUUGGAGGGUGAUGAAGUCCAGGCCCAGGUUUCCACAGAGAGGUUGUGGAUUUGCUGUUCCUGGGGAUCUUUAAAGGUCAAAUCCAUGGCUUAUCCCAGCAGGUGCUAGUACAAUACCUGCUUUGAAUGAGUGGUUGGAUCAGAGACCUCUGGAAGUCUCUUCUGACCAGCACUUCAAUGACUGUGAUUAUAACAGCUGUAAAACAAAAAUGUGGUGGACUAGUUUUGAAAAGUAAGAAAAGUAAUAUAACUCAGGAAGAAUAUUUGCAGCCGUGGCAAAAGAACUCCCAUGCUUAGAAUAAGCAGUCUGAAGGUUAAAUCCUCCUGAGGAAAAACUGCAAUAAAGAUAAAGGUGGUAUAAAGAAAGUUGGUGAG